This 495-nucleotide ribosomal RNA is filed under the name uncultured bacterium. RNAcentral's name for it is "partial 16S ribosomal RNA". It matches the Rfam family "Bacterial small subunit ribosomal RNA", at positions 28 to 507 of the family's 1533-position model. The record is from RNAcentral.
GACGAACGCUGGCGGCGUGCCUAAUACAUGCAAGUAGAACGCUGAAGGCGGAGCUUGCUUCUCUGGAUGAGUUGCGAACGGGUGAGUAACGCGUAGGUAACCUGCCUUGUAGCGGGGGAUAACUAUUGGAAACGAUAGCUAAUACCGCAUAAGAGUAGAUGUUGCAUGACAUUUACUUAAAAGGUGCAAUUGCAUCACUACCAGAUGGACCUGCGUUGUAUUAGCUAGUUGGUGAGGUAACGGCUCACGAAGGCAACGAUACAGAGCCGACCGGAGAGGGUGAGUGGCCGCACUGGGACUGAGACACGGCCCAGAGUGAUACGGGAGGCAGCAGUAGGGAAUCGUCGGCAAUGGACGGAAGUUUGACCGCGCAACGCGGCGUGAGUGAAGAAGGUUUCCGGAUCGUAAAGCUCGGUUGUAAGAGAAGAACGAGUGUGAGAGUGGAAAGUUCACACUGUGACGGUAACUGAUCAGAAAGGGACGGCUAACUACGUG